AUGGUUGAUCUUACUGCUUCGCCGGACCCUGCUACUGGGUGCAGAAUGCUACCAUCACCGGGUGGCUGUGACGAAGAGAUUGGCAUGUUCCUUUAUAGGGGGCACGUGGACGAGGAGACUAUUAGGCUCUCCAAGGGAAGGAAACGGGCCUGCGACCAUGGCGAGCUGAUCAAGCUGUGUGUGGUCCCCUAUGACCAGCUCUGGCGCACGACGUCAGAUGCAAAGGCGCUCUCGGCAAUAGCUCUGUACGAGAUGGGCGCCAAUAGACUGCAUAAAGCUUCAUCAGUUAUACUCAUCCUUCGUCUAGGGAACUUGCAUGUUCAGCAAGCAUGUCCUAAAGACAAAGGAUAUUCUCCUCUCACUUGGAUGACACAGAUGCUCUAG
This 384-nucleotide ribosomal RNA is filed under the name Triticum aestivum (bread wheat). RNAcentral's name for it is "partial small subunit ribosomal RNA". Lineage: Eukaryota; Viridiplantae; Streptophyta; Magnoliopsida; Poales; Poaceae. The record is from RNAcentral.